UUGUCUAAUUGAGUCCUUCUCUUCCAGUCAGCCCACAUCCUGACUCUGAGGAACUGGAGGGAGCGGGUGGACUGUCUGUUGAAACAGGAACGUUUUGUUGAGGCUCUGUCCUUGGCCUGGUCCUUCCAUGAGGGCACUGCCAAGGCUGUACUGGGGCUGUUUGGGGACCCAGCAAAGAGGAAAGGUGUAGUGGCAGACAAGAUGAUAGAGAUUCUGUUCCAGUAUGUGGAGCGCUCAGUGAAGAAAUGUCCAGAACACGGCAAGAUACAGGUGAUGGAACAACAUUUCCAGGACAUGGUGCCUGUCAUGGUAGAUUACUGUCUGCAGCUGCAG
Long non-coding RNA from Oncorhynchus keta (chum salmon), 333 nucleotides. RefSeq lists it as uncharacterized. The transcript has 5 exons. The record is from RefSeq and is a predicted model, not a curated record. Lineage: Eukaryota; Metazoa; Chordata; Actinopteri; Salmoniformes; Salmonidae.